Labrus bergylta (ballan wrasse) is the source of this 297-nucleotide non-coding RNA. Lineage: Eukaryota; Metazoa; Chordata; Actinopteri; Labriformes; Labridae. The record is from RefSeq and is a predicted model, not a curated record.
CAGACUGAGACACCCACCCUGCAAGACAGAGCGCUACCGCAGGGAUCCAGGAUUCACACAACAUGCUUUUCUGAGCAGCUGAUCAGGGUCUUCUGUAAGGAGAUUGAUGACGAGAGUGUGGAGGCUGCCAAAAAGCACUUUAAACAGUGGUUAAGGUGCUGGUUAAGCUCUACUCUAAUUCUGCAAAACAUUGUCUCUGGAAAUAUCUACAAGUUUGUUGGUGAGAGAAAGCCAGCGGACCCCAUCGAGGAUUGGGAAAGCCGGAUUUCUGGCUGGAAAGAAGGAUUGGCUCAACCC